UAUCAUACCUGGCAAGAGAUAUACAAUGAUCAAGAAGGUGGUCUUUUUGGGGCGAGGCUCACCCAUUGCACUCUGGAUAUGCUGACCCCUGUGAUUUCCUCAACUGUGGGAAACAACUGCAAAAUUUGUGGUAGUGGGGGACUGCAUUCAUGCUCUCCCCUA
Small nuclear RNA from Suncus etruscus (white-toothed pygmy shrew), 162 nucleotides. RefSeq annotates it as U1 spliceosomal RNA. NCBI's taxonomy places the organism in Eukaryota, Metazoa, Chordata, Mammalia, Eulipotyphla, Soricidae. The transcript has a single exon. The record is from RefSeq and is a predicted model, not a curated record.